RNAcentral lists this transfer RNA (83 nucleotides) under Rhizobium phage RHph_I1_18. RNAcentral's name for it is "tRNA-Thr". It matches the Rfam family "tRNA". Rfam says of the family: Transfer RNA (tRNA) molecules are approximately 80 nucleotides in length. Their secondary structure includes four short double-helical elements and three loops (D, anti-codon, and T loops). Further hydrogen bonds mediate the characteristic L-shaped molecular structure. tRNAs have two regions of fundamental functional importance: the anti-codon, which is responsible for specific mRNA codon recognition, and the 3' end, to which the tRNAs corresponding amino acid is attached (by aminoacyl-tRNA synthetases). tRNAs cope with the degeneracy of the genetic code in two manners: having more than one tRNA (with a specific anti-codon) for a particular amino acid; and 'wobble' base-pairing, i.e. permitting non-standard base-pairing at the 3rd anti-codon position. Lineage: Duplodnaviria; Heunggongvirae; Uroviricota; Caudoviricetes. The record is from RNAcentral.
GCUGGUGUAGCGAAGCGGUCGAACGCACCUCUCUUGUAAGGAGGUAUCCCACACCGUCGGUUCGAAUCCGACCGCCAGCUCCA